Molecule: long non-coding RNA, 2298 nt
Organism: Spinacia oleracea (spinach)
Lineage: Eukaryota; Viridiplantae; Streptophyta; Magnoliopsida; Caryophyllales; Amaranthaceae
Exons: 3
Source: RefSeq, a predicted model, not a curated record
AAAAAGAAAAAGAAAAAAAAAGUCGUGCACUCGUGUCGUUGGAUGCACCCAACUAAAGAUGGUUGUGAGGCGGGUCUGGCUUAGAGCCGAGCCCAUGGGCCCGCCCACACAAAGCCUACUCUUCAACAAGUCUGGUCGUGCCAGGUCCAAAAUUUUAAAAUAGGGCCUAGGCCCACGAAUCGUCGUGCCUAAACCUAAUUUUACUAAAUUUUGGUGUUUUGUCGUGCCGUACUUUUCCAAAAAAUUAUGCUCCAACUUUGGCCCACGCUCUUCUCGAACUGUGCUUUUUUUCGUGUCUGUGCCGGAUCGAGUUUUUCGUGCCAGAUCCGGGCGGGCCUCGGGCCGGCUUAACAUACAACAAUUUUUACACCCAACUAUCCAAGUCACAAUUGGUGUUGUUGUGGCCAGUUCGCCUUCAAAAAAUUGAGACGGGUCAUACUCAAAUUGUACUCGUGCAACCUGUUUGACUAUAGUUUAGUCACACAACCAAAAAGAGUUUGGAAGUGCCAAAGGUUUUGGUUGCGGUUUUAGGGAGAAGUAGCCGUAGCAAACAAUUAUCAAGUGAGAGAAUGAUGAGGACUUGAGGUUCAUACUCAAUGUGGCAAUGGCGGAUAGCCAGAUUAAGCUCCAAAUCAAAAACUACGGAGAUUAUCAACUUCAACCAGAUCAACAUUUGAAGAUGAAGGCUCUUGGUUUUAUUCUUAUCAGUCGCGGGCCUCCGAUUACGAUCACCAUUCCCACUCCAUUUUCCGAGCUGCCUCCCUCCAUGGCAACGGCGUCGUUUCCGUCCUUGCUUACCAUUCUACCACCCCCGUUUUGCUAUUAUUAGCAGAGUGCCAGAGAUGGCUCUGGGAACUGGAAAAAAGCAUUUGCAGGCCACAUCAAAACCACGGAGCCCUACCAUUCAAGCCUCCAAUGGGCGAAACACAACAGAGCCGGGAUAAUGCAUGCGCAGGGAGGAGGAUGCCGGUGAUGCAUAGGGAUUAAGGCUUUAGCAGAUGAUUCCUGAAUAUUUCCACUUGGUGUACGCCUCGGUGCUGCUGGUGGUUUUAAUGAUCCGCCCAUCUUGAGCGGUGGAGGUGGUGGUGCUGGACCUUUCUUGGCUGCCAUUGGUGGUGCUGGUGGUGGUGGAGCUGGUGCUUUCUUGACUGCCAUUGGUGGCGGUGCUGGUGCUGGUGCUGGUGCUGGUGCUGGUUCUGACUUAGCAGCCAUAGAAGGCGGUAAAGGCGGAGUAGGAGUGAUUCCUUCCUUAGCAACAACCACUUUUUCAGCCACCGCCGCCUCUUCUCCUCUACCAACAGCCUGAAAAGUGGCUUCAUUUUGUGGUGGUUUAGAACCAAGAAGCCUAGCUGUUUGCUCCUCCUUAGGAUGUAUUUGAUUAUACGAAGACGACGAUUUCCCUCGAGAAUAUGUCCUCCUACCAUUGCUCCCUUUGCUAAAGGCAUCCUUAUGAAAAGGUCCACUCUUCCUUUGGCUCCCUUCAAGCUUCCUCCAAUACAACACGUCCAAACCAUCUUCAUCAACUAUCAACCCUUUAAUAUUCCCAUCAAACCUCGUAAACUCUGAUUGCGGCAACGCCUGCAACCUUCCUCCACCACCAACACCACCACCACCUCCACCAGAAGCAGGAAUGGCUGCUGGCAUAACACAAACCUGUCCCCCAUUUUCCUUCUUCUUUCGCUGGGUAUAUUUCGUACAGAAGAAGAAAACUGCUGCAGCCACCACCAAAGUACUCGCAGCUGUCACACCAACAGCUGUAUAUAUCGCCCUAUGAGACGUCCCCCCUCGUGAUGAUUGCUGAUCCUGCUGUGUCGUAUCCUGUGGCGGCGACAGCAGUGGCGUGGGCGGUGUUGGGGAUGACGGAAUAGGAGGGACUACUACUACUCCAGGGGGAACAGCAGGAGGUGGUGGUGGUCGUGGUGGUGGUGAAGAAGGAUAGAAAGUUUCAAUGUUCUGAGGAGGAUUAGAUUGACAUAAUGAAACAUUAAUGAAGGAAUUAAGAAAAACAAAGAUGAUGAAGAACGAAAUGUUGGUAAGAAACAAAUGUUGUGAUUUUGUUAGAAAUGCCAUCCCCUUUGAUCUGUACAACAAAAAAGGGAGGAGAGAGAAAGAGGGAAAGAUAGAGGGGGAACUAAUAAGUUUGUUGAUUAGUUCUAGUAAUAUUUUUGGGGGGGUUGGUUUUGUUGUAUUAAGAUGGUGUUGAGCUGUUCCCAUGUUGGGUCUUUUUUCCUGCUAGCUUUUGCAGACAUUGUCAAACUAAGCAGGUUGCUGACUAUGAGUAAUUUAUAUUUAUUUAUA